This 301-nucleotide ribosomal RNA is filed under the name uncultured bacterium. RNAcentral's name for it is "partial 16S ribosomal RNA". It matches the Rfam family "Bacterial small subunit ribosomal RNA", at positions 509 to 807 of the family's 1533-position model. The record is from RNAcentral.
CAGCAGCCGCGGUAAUACGUAGGGUGCAAGCGUUAAUCGGAAUUACUGGGCGUAAAGCGUGCGCAGGCGGUUUGUUAAGACAGAUGUGAAAUCCCCGGGCUCAACCUGGGAACUGCAUUUGUGACUGGCAAGCUAGAGUCUGGCAGAGGGGGGUGGAAUUCCGCGUGUAGCAGUGAAAUGCGUAGAUAUGCGGAGGAACACCGAUGGCGAAGGCAGCCCCCUGGGCCAACACUGACGCUGAGGCGCGAAAGCGUGGGGAGCAAACAGGAUUAGAUACCCCAGUAGUCCCUGUCUCUUAUAC